RNAcentral lists this long non-coding RNA (984 nucleotides) under Malus domestica (apple). Its description in RNAcentral is "long non-coding RNA (MDOM_LNC010858)". The record is from RNAcentral. Lineage: Eukaryota; Viridiplantae; Streptophyta; Magnoliopsida; Rosales; Rosaceae.
UUCUUUUAUGGUAUCUACUUGUGUAAAUGUUUUAAAUUGACGAUCGAAUUAGUUCCUUGUAUUCAUAUAUGAUCCAAGAGUGUAGUUGUAAAAAAUCAUCACAAUCGGAGUUAAAAUAACCGUUAAAUCGUGAUUUUUUCGUUUAUAACCGUCAAAAAGUUUUGUCCUGUUACUUGAUCUUUGAAGGUUUGUUGUUUGCCAUUUUUUGCGUAUGCGAUCUCGAAGCAUAUACAAACAAGUUUGAUGGUUGGAUCGUUGAAACUAGUUUCGUACAAUGCGUAUCCCAUUAAAACGAUAGAUUCCCUAAUCAUUUUAGGUGUAGUCUCUACCCUUUACGAUUUAGAAUACGUGGUCUCAUCAUAUAGGUCCUUAAACAAUAAUUUUAAGGCAGGAGUGGAAGGGGUAAAUAAGAAGUUAAAAUUGUGGAACUUCGAAAAAAACAAAAACAAAAAAAACACUUUGCGCGACCCAGGUACACAUGCGUCGCGCAAAGUGUUUUUUUUUGUUUUUGUUUUUUUGUUUUUUUGUUUUUUCCUUUUGCUUUUCUUUUGGGGUUCUUGCAUUGCCUUUUUCUUUUGUCGUAUUUACUUGUGUAAAUGUUUUAAAUUGACGAUCGAAUUAGUUCCUUGUAUUCAUAUAGGAUCCAAGAGUGUAGCUGUAAAAAAUCAUCACAAUCGGAGUUAAAAUAACCGUUAAAUCGUGAUUUUUUCGUUUAUAAUCGUCGAAAAGUUUUGCCCCGUUACUUGAUCUCUGAAGGUCUGUUGUUUGCCAUUUUUUGCGUAUGCGAUCUCGAAGCAUAUACAAACAAGUUUGAUGGUUGGAUUGUUGAAACUAGUUUUGUACAAUGCGUAUCCCAUUAAAAGGAUAGAUUCCCUAAUCAUUUUAGGUGUAGUCUCUACCCUUUACGAUUUAGAAUACGUGGUCUCAUCAUAUAGGUCCUUAAACAAUAAUUUUAAGGCAGGAGUGGAAGGGGUAAACAAGAAG